AUUGAACGCUGGCGGCAGGCCUAACACAUGCAAGUCGAGCGGAUGAAGGGAGCUUGCUCCUGGAUUCAGCGGCGGACGGGUGAGUAAUGCCUAGGAAUCUGCCUGGUAGUGGGGGAUAACGUCCGGAAACGGGCGCUAAUACCGCAUACGUCCUGAGGGAGAAAGUGGGGGAUCUUCGGGCCUCACGCUAUCAGAUGAGCCUAGGUCGGAUUAGCUAGUUGGUGGGGUAAAGGCCUACCAAGGCGACGAUCUGUAACUGGUCUGAGAGGAUGAUCAGUCACACUGGAACUGAGACACGGUCCAGACUCCUACGGGAGGCAGCAGUGGGGAAUAUUGGACAAUGGGCGAAAGCCUGAUCCAGCCAUGCCGCGUGUGUGAAGAAGGUCUUCGGAUUGUAAAGCACUUUAAGUUGGGAGGAAGGGCAGUAAGUUAAUACCUUGCUGUUUUGACGUUACCAACAGAAUAAGCACCGGCUAACUUCGUG
This 484-nucleotide ribosomal RNA is filed under the name uncultured bacterium. Its description in RNAcentral is "partial 16S ribosomal RNA". It matches the Rfam family "Bacterial small subunit ribosomal RNA", at positions 30 to 507 of the family's 1533-position model. The record is from RNAcentral.